UAUUCACUCCACUUAUUUUAUUAAAAAACCUGCUCACUGGUUAUGUAGACAUACUUUUAAUUAUAGUGUGUUUGAAAGAGUUACAAUUACUGUGAUAUUUUAAAUUUAUUUCAAUUAAAUAACAAGUCAAUGAACUAUAACAAUAUAAGACACAAUUGUAACAAAUAUAGAGGGCUCAGUAUAUUUUUUAAAUUAAUAAGGCAACAUCUUUGCCCUUUAAAGACAUAUGUUAAUUACCUGAGAAAUAUCUGCCUGUAUACCAUGAAUGGUAUUGUGGUUCAGUCACAAGGCGCCAUAUACCAUACUCUGCUGGAUUAACACUCUGCACUAUUAGAGCAAAUAGCAGAGGCUGUGUAGAAAAUUCAUAAUGUUUAAAAUACGUUGCAAAAUUGGGAAGAAUGUAAGAUAUGGAAAGACUGGGCGACUAGUGUAAUAGUAGGCUUCCAAAACCAAGUAUCACAAAGUGUAUUGCAGUCAUGAAGAUAAAUACAAAUUAAACUGAGAUAAUUCAUACUCAGGUUCACCAACAUUAUGAAUGGUCCUGAAUGCCAAAGCAUGGUCUAUAUACUUGCCUCAAUAGACUAUCGAGAGCCAUUGAAAAUAUGUCUCUUUUUAAAGAGU
RNAcentral lists this long non-coding RNA (621 nucleotides) under Homo sapiens (human). RNAcentral describes it as "non-protein coding lnc-B3GALT2-5:1". The record is from RNAcentral. Lineage: Eukaryota; Metazoa; Chordata; Mammalia; Primates; Hominidae.